Octopus bimaculoides (California two-spot octopus) is the source of this 5419-nucleotide unclassified non-coding RNA. The record is from RefSeq and is a predicted model, not a curated record. NCBI's taxonomy places the organism in Eukaryota, Metazoa, Mollusca, Cephalopoda, Octopoda, Octopodidae.
ACUGUUACGAAUCAAUUUCAAAGUAAAAGUCUUCUUAGCUUUAGUUUUUUUUUUAGAACUCCACAGCUUACCAUGAAAGGAUACACUAUUCCUUUUUCAUUGAUAUUACUUUGGGCUAUUUUCUUAUGGAAUGCUGCUGCAAUUAGAACCAAAGACAAGAUCUAUGUUAACAUCAAAGGACAGAAAGCCUGUUUUCGCCGCCUCAAUGCAACUCAUCAAAUUGGGUGCUCCUCUGAAAUGAAUGGCAAUGUAGGUGUUGUUCACUAUGUGAAAGAGAAAUCUGAUAGCCAGUGGAUACUCAAAGAUGGACCACAUGCUCCAUAUGUGAUGCUCAUUGAAGCUGCUAAUUUCAAUCUGCAGAACAUCACUGAGUUGAUUGACUCUGGAAGAGUUAAUGGGAUACUGGUCAUAGAUGCCAAUGGUGCAUCACAGCUACCACCUGAGGGAUUUUCUGCAGAUAAAUCUUGUCCAAAUGAUGGCUAUGGAUUAUACUGGAACAACACCAUGUACAAAAAUUGCAGAAGUGUCCAGUGGAAUCCUCCAGGAAAUGGUAUGAUGUUUCAGGACUUUAGCAUUCCUAUUUUUUUAUUGGACAGUCCCAAAGAAGUUGAGUACAUUAUUGAAAAAUGUUAUGAAAAAUAUAACGACCCUGAAAAUAACACAGGAUUGCAAUACCCACUGUGUGCAGCUGAGCUGAAAGACUACAUGAAUGCUGCCAAAGAUUCGAUGACAUGCAUGCGACGUUCCAGCCACAUAACAUCUUUAACCACCAGCAUAUCGCAAUACUGUGAUCCACUCAGUAACAACAAUGUUAUUGGUUUUGUUAAUCCAAAAUCAGUUGAUGACCAACUUGCAGAGAAGUCUGUUAUUAUUGCCGGAUCCAGGAUGGAUUACAUGAAUAUGUUUGAGAAUGUAAAUAAUAGUGCUGACAAUCCAAUCACCAGCAUUGUGGCUCUUUUGUCUGCCGCUGAAGCCAUUGGAAGAUUUAAAGAAGACUUUAUCAAUUCACAAGAGAACAAGACCAUCCUGUUUGCACUUUUCCAAGGGGAAGCUUUUGACUAUAUUGGAUCAAGCCGCAUGGUCUAUGAUAUGGAAGUAGGCAGUUUCCCAACGUCAUUUCGCAAAACUGGUGGCUUAAGUUAUUCUCGGGCUUUGCAAAAGAUUGGUUUGAAUCAUCUGUCUCACUUUUUGGAAGUGAACCAGCUAGGCUACAGAGAAAACGAGGCAGAAAAUGUCUGGCUACACACAGACCCAAUUAGUUACAAUUCAAAUAUUUCCACUGAGAUUGACGGUCUGGUGAAAAGGAUAAAAAAAAUUGGAGAACAGCUGAAUGUUACCAUAAUGGAACCAGAUACUUCUCGUCCUUUGCCUCCGUCUUCUGCUCAACGUUUCCUGCGGGAAACUGCACUACCAACUGUUAUGCUCACUAACCACGAAAAAGAGUACACAAACAUAUAUUACAACAGUAUGUUUGAUCUUGGAGAACUAAUUGGUGUGGAUUAUAUUCCGGGUGGUGAUAUAGAGAACCUUACACUUUCAAAACAAGUCCUCCUCUUGACUAACAUAUCUACAGUUUUGGCACAGACACUCUUUGAAUUAGGUACUGGUCAAAAUGGAUCUCAUAUAAAAGCAAACAGUUCUAUAGUUGCUGAAUUAUUGUAUUGUUACAUCUGGAACAGUAGCUGCUCUAUAUUCCACUCAGUCAUAACAAGUGAUCAUGUCAAAAGUUUUGAGAAGUUCCCAGAAAUGAAUUUAUACACUGGUGUCAAGGGCAACACCAGUCCACUUACAUUGAUCACAGAAAAGAUACUUGCCUAUUUCCUAGGAGACAAGCUCAAUAUUACAGACAGGAAAUUAUGUACAAAACAGUCCAAUGGGAUUGUGAAAGCUAAUUGGAUGCAGGGUAGAGAUCAUGAAGGCCUGUGUGUAACCGCUCCCACAUACCUCACUGAUGCCAUAUCUCCAGCUUUUAUCAUAGAUGACUAUGAUUGGUUGUCUGGUAAAUAUCCUACUUGGACUGAGAGUAUUUGGGACAAUGAUGCAAUGUCUGUACGUGUUUUUCUGGUUCCCAGCAAUAAACUACAGGCAGUAACACUGUUUUUGGGUGUGCUUAUCCUGUGCCUGUCAAUGGUGAUCGUCUAUUUCCUAAACAACCGGGCAGAAGUCAUCUUCCCUACCACAUCAGCUUUCCCUGCUCAUGAUGGCUAAAUAACCUGCAAUUUCCCAAAUAGGCUUGUUCUCUUCUACUCAUAUUUGCAUAGACUCUCAUUUUGUUACUGGGUAUCAUCAUCUUUGUGGUCUCUUUGGUUGUGGUCUAUGUGUUAGUAGAGAAAGCAGAUAUUAUUUUUCAGACUGCUCACAAACACUACUAACUAGCUUGAACCUGAAUCUAAACUAACUUUACCUAAUUUAACUUAAAAAAAAACUAGACUACACUUCUAGUAAGCCACUAUGGCAAAGCUUAUGUCAAUAUAUUUGUUAGCACAGAAUACUUCUUGCUUUCCUUUCAAUUUUGUUUUGGUAAGGCAAAUGAAGCACAAGAACAAAGAAGAAAUUUCUCACACGAGGGACCAAAGAACCAUGAACCAGUUUCAACAUCAAGAAUUGAUAAUGAUUUUUUUCCUCUUUCUACUAAACUAUCAUCUUUUCAUUCCCCUCCUCUCUGAAUACAUACACACGCACACGCACACACAUAUUUAUAUAUACAUAUGCUCCACACACACACACACAUUUAUAUAUACAUACGCACCCCCCACACACAUUCACACGCACACAUUUUGUGUAUGUGUUUCCAAUAACAGGUGUGGAUGUUAUACUUUCAACUUUUCCAUGUAAGUUGUCUACUUAAUAAUAAGGAGUGUAUAAAAUAUUUGUUCAUAUUUAUGUGCACUGAUGUUAGCAGUAUCACUACCAUUCUAUAUCCGCUUUUCCAAGCUUGCAUGGGUUGGGUGGGUCUUCUCCAGUACACCAUCUCACCAUUUAUUGCAAUUGUUUGACAUCUUGAGAUCAGCUUUCACUGCUUCUAUGUCUUCCUUGGUUUUUCCCCUUCCACUCAGAUUGCUUGCAUUUUUUAAAAUUAACUAGCACCCUCCAUAUGCAUCAAAUGCCCAUAACAGUGUUGUCUUCUUUCUUGUACACAACAUUUGAAUCCUCUUAUACUCUUGAUAGCUCAUUUCAUUUCUUUUCACAUCUUCCAUGUUCAGUGUCCAUGUUUUGCUACCAUGCAACCUCACACUUUGUCAGUAGCAUUAUACAGUCAACUCUUUUCCAGGUUAGUGAAUCCCUUUGUUGCAUGCAAAACCAGUAGCUUCCUGAACUGGUUUAACCUCAUCCUUAUUCUGGUUUCUAUGCUUUUGGAACAUCAUCCUCUACCAUUAAUUAUGUCACCUACUUAAUGGAAGCUAUCAACUUGUAGUUGAUAACUAUGGAGUCUUUCAAGAAUUUAAGGGAAUCCAUUUCAUGGGUGACCUUAAUGUUCACUACUCAAGCGUCUGCUAUAUAUGGAGUCUUUUCUUCUCUGUCUACCUGCCUGUGAUUCCACUGUAUUUGUUGUACUCUGGAAGUUUACAUUUGGUACACUGUGCAGAGUUACUACUUAACUUCUUUUCUGCAUAUUGAGCAAGGCCGCUUCCCAUUAGAAAGGUGGCUAUGCUUGAUGUGCUAACUAGAACUUUUGUCUCUGCAAGGUUUAUUUUGAAGCCUCUAGAUUCUUGCUUCCAUGUUUGGAAUAUUUUUCAUAAUUUUCAUUUGAUCAGCUAUGAGAACUAGAUCAUUCAGAAGUUCCCUUGGAUAGACAGUCUGAAAUUCUGUGAAUUGGCUGGACAACAAUUAUAAACAGUAGCGAGCUAAGAACCAAACCUCGAUGAAUGCUUAUCUGCAAGAUUUUUCACUUAACUCAUUACUAACUUUAAUUUUGUUGGCAGCAUCUCUCUACAUCACUCACUCCAUCCACUUGCCUUCACCUAGUUCUUUUAGCGAUGACCUGACUACAGAACAUGAUCUCCAAACUGCCUCUCAUCUAAGCAACUUGUCUUUCUUGUCACUUGUACUAUAAUCCUUUCUGUUACUUUUACAACCAGGUUCAUCAACUUGAUGACUCUGUACUUACUUCUUUCUGUCAAAUUUCCUUUGCCUUUGUAGUUCUUGUUGAUGAUAGUGCUACACCAGUCAUUAGGUAUGACUCAUCCUUGUACUGCCUGAUUGACUACAUAAGUGAUUAUUAGCACAUGUCCUCCUUCAUUGGAUAUUUUCAGUAUCUCACUAGCUACCUUUGAUGGUAUCGCUACUUUCACUGCCUUCAUGUCCUCGAUUGCACUUUUGACCAUGCUGCUGUCCACUUGAACAGCUGCUUCCUCUGUUGGAUUUACUUGGGGUAGAGCCUCUCUCAUUCUGUUCAGUCAGUGACUUCAUUGUGCCCCUUUCUUCUUGGUGUCAGUCACAAAAGUGUGUCAUUUUCUUUCCAUACACACUUUUCCCCAAUGACCUCUUGUUUCAUACUGAAACACUUCUUUGCAAUUCAGAACACCUUACUUUCAUCUUCUUUCUUUGCUAUCUUUAUCUGACAUCUAGCUUCUUUUUUUUUAGGUAUCUGAUAUGAUUCCUUGCUUCCCAUUUUCUCCAAAUCUUUCUAGGUCAAUCCUUUAGCUUUUAUGGCAGUAUCUAAAGUAUCACCAUGUUACCUUUCUGUCAAGCUGGAACUCCCACUCACAAGUUCUGUUUGUGACUUACAACUGGUUGUAUCACAGAAACUCCCAGUUGUCCUUAGUUACGUAUCUAUCAUGUGUGUGUGUGUGUAUAUAUAUAUAUACACACACACACACACACACAUACAUGUAUACAUCUGUAUGUAUCUAUACAUAUGUAAUAUAUUAUAUGUAUAUACGUCUGUGUGUGCAUGCACAUGUGUAUAUAUAUAUAUAUACAUACAUAUAUAUAUAUAUAUAUAUAUAUAUAUACAUAUACACACACACACCAGGUAUUGAAUUCACAUUAAUCAGAGGACCAGCUCUGCUUGUCUCUUUUUAUCAACUCAAUGAUAAUAAAAACAUAUCCUCCUCUUCAGCUUCUUUUGUUUUCAUCCUCUUCCAGUUUUUUUCUUCCACAACUGAGAUUUUCCUUGCGUGUUAUCUUCAUCUUCUCAUUUCAUUUCACUGUCCUUAACAGAUCUCUCCCCAUGAUCAGCACCACUGGAUCUGACUAAAUUCUUGUUCCUCACCACAUUCAAUUUUUGCAACUGCUUUGAUUCUUUUCAAACUUUUACUAGAUUUGGGUCCUGUAUUGCUUGUUACCUGAUGAAAGUGCAGGCUUCUACAAAACAUUAAAAGUGGGGGAGAGUGUUUUGGUGGAGAAGAUUAAUAACUUGUUGUUUAGCCCUGAUUUGAACACAACUGUUGAUCAAAUAAAGACAUUCCAACCACCA